GUCCAGCUGACGAGUCCGAAAUAGGAUGAAACGCGUGUCCUGGAU
Molecule: non-coding RNA, 45 nt
Filed under: Schistosoma bovis
Lineage: Eukaryota; Metazoa; Platyhelminthes; Trematoda; Strigeidida; Schistosomatidae
Also listed under: 1 other name
Source: RNAcentral